This 468-nucleotide ribosomal RNA is filed under the name uncultured bacterium. Its description in RNAcentral is "partial 16S ribosomal RNA". It matches the Rfam family "Bacterial small subunit ribosomal RNA", at positions 28 to 507 of the family's 1533-position model. The record is from RNAcentral.
GACGAACGCUGGCGGCGUGCUUAACACAUGCAAGUCGAACGGAAAGGCCCUGCUUUUGUGGGGUGUUCGAGUGGCGAACGGGUGAGUAACACGUGAGUAACCUGCCCUUGACUUUGGGAUAACUUCAGGAAACUGGGGCUAAUACCGGAUAGGAGCUCCUGCUGCAUGGUGGGGGUUGGAAAGUUUCGGCGGUUGGGGAUGGACUCGCGGCUUAUCAGCUUGUUGGUGGGGUAGUGGCUUACCAAGGCUUUGACGGGUAGCCGGCCUGAGAGGGUGACCGGCCACAUUGGGACUGAGAUACGGCCCAGACUCCUACGGGAGGCAGCAGUGGGGAAUAUUGCACAAUGGGCGGAAGCCUGAUGCAGCAACGCCGCGUGCGGGAUGACGGCCUUCGGGUUGUAAACCGCUUUCGCCUGUGGCGAAGCGUGAGUGACGGUAAUGGGUAAAGAAGCACCGGCUAACUACGUG